RNAcentral lists this ribosomal RNA (548 nucleotides) under uncultured bacterium. Its description in RNAcentral is "bacterial SSU rRNA". It matches the Rfam family "Bacterial small subunit ribosomal RNA", at positions 355 to 895 of the family's 1533-position model. The record is from RNAcentral.
UAGGGAAUCUUCGGCAAUGGACGGAAGUCUGACCGAGCAACGCCGCGUGAGUGAAGAAGGUUUUCGGAUCGUAAAGCUCUGUUGUAAGAGAAGAACGAGUGUGAGAGUGGAAAGUUCACACUGUGACGGUAUCUUACCAGAAAGGGACGGCUAACUACGUGCCUGCAGCCGCGGUAAUACGUAGGUCCCGAGCGUUGUCCGGAUUUAUUGGGCGUAAAGCGAGCGCAGGCGGUUAGAUAAGUCUGAAGUUAAAGGCUGUGGCUUAACCAUAGUACGCUUUGGAAACUGUUUAACUUGAGUGCAAGAGGGGAGAGUGGAAUUCCAUGUGUAGCGGUGAAAUGCGUAGAUAUAUGGAGGAACACCGGUGGCGAAAGCGGCUCUCUGGCUUGUAACUGACGCUGAGGCUCGAAAGCGUGGGGAGCAAACAGGAUUAGAUACCCUGGUAGUCCACGCCGUAACGAUGAGUGCUAGGUGUUAGACCCUUUCCGGGGUUUAGUGCCGUAGCUAACGCAUUAAGCACUCCGCCUGGGGAGUACGACCGCAAGGUU